CUAGAAAAAGUUUCCCUCUUAAAGAUUUUUUUACCAAACGAGAGGGAUUUUUUAGGACUAAACUAGGCAUUUAGGACUAAAUGAAACAAACACCCCCAGCGGCGCACGACCUUCCUUCCUCGAGCAGCGGCAGUGGAGCGGGGUGCAGCGGGCUUGGCCUACGCCGACGGGCGGCGUGGUCCCUCUCCUCUAUCGAGUAGCGGCGGUGGCGCGGGACGCAGCGGGCUCGGCCUUCGUCGUCGGCGGCGGGGUCCCUCGACCAUCGGCGGCAGCGCCGAACACAAUAGGCGGCCAGGACGCGGCGGCGAAGCUGAGGGAGCCGGCCCUUGUGGCAGGGGGGGCGUGACGGUGCCAUGGCGGCUCUGGGGUGGAGGGCGCGUGCGUGUAGGCGACGCGUUCCUCCGGCUUCCGGCGUGCCGCAGCAUGGACUUCCCUGCUGUCGUCGUGCUCCCUGAUGCCAGCUCCUCCUUCCUCCCGCCGCUAGACAUGCACAACACCAUCCCAUGCCCUCUGCCCGCUGGCCAGAGAAAGGCAUUGGUGAGAAAUAUGGAAUGAUGCACGUGAACAGAUUGUCACUGCCAUCUCAUCCACUGCACUGAAGGAGAUCAAGCCCAUUUCCAUCAGCAUCAACUAGCACCUCUCCUUGACUUGCAUCCUUGUCCUUUGUUAAAUUGUGCAACCUAUUGCCGCUCUGCCAUGUGUCACAUGGCCAUCCUUCAUACACCGCUUCACUAGGACUAAGACCGAAGUGCAAAUGAUGGUAUGUAAGUUUUCACUAUUUCCUCACUUGAUCUUAUUGUUUUUCCACGGUUUUCUAACUGGGGUCCUCACAUAUUUUGUGUGUGUGUACAUUACGGGGCACCUAGAAAAUUCCAAAAGAAGUUGCCUCUUGUUUGGACACCGCGAAGCACGGGCUGGCAAGACUAAGAUUAGGCAAAGAGAGCUUCAGGAGGACCGAGUACGACACCUCACUCGACGAUCUAUUCUUCAAGCAAGGAUGAAGAAGUUCCUCAUGAGACAUGACAUGAGGUUGGCACUGCUAUACUAAUUACAUUUAAGACCGUCGCCAACAAUGAGUUGGAUAUUAUAGUCAUUCUUUUAUGUCCUCUGAGAAGAUCAUGUUGGACGAGUUCCGGGCUUUAAUGAGUUAUUUAGUCAUUUCUCUUCGGGUUUUUUAAACCAUGGAGGAGAACUGCAUGUGAACUUCAUAGAUACGAGAAGAAAAGGAUAAAGGCAUGUACAAAGUUCAAUUCCUCUUCUGUUUAUUUUGUUUCCUCUUUGUCUACAUACUGGUUUUUGAACUAUGUAUUGUUAAUCGGAUGUAUAUAGACAUGUUUUAGUGUGUUUGUUCACUUAUUGCAAUCAGUAUGUAGUCU
Triticum urartu is the source of this 1376-nucleotide non-coding RNA. The record is from RefSeq and is a predicted model, not a curated record. Lineage: Eukaryota; Viridiplantae; Streptophyta; Magnoliopsida; Poales; Poaceae.